AGGGUAGAGGUGCAAAAACCAUAAGUACUCGUGUUGAAGAGAAUGAGCUCUGACGAUACAGGAGGAAAGGGGAAUUUGCCGAAGCUGAUGGUGACUCAUUAUCCGGAAGCUGGUGCUGUCAUUCAAUAGAUGCAGGACUGUCAUAUAGGUAACUAUAUGGAGGGCUAUCA
RNAcentral lists this non-coding RNA (170 nucleotides) under Oceanobacillus massiliensis. RNAcentral describes it as "Lysine riboswitch". It matches the Rfam family "Lysine riboswitch aptamer". Rfam says of the family: Riboswitches are metabolite binding domains within certain messenger RNAs that serve as precision sensors for their corresponding targets. Allosteric rearrangement of mRNA structure is mediated by ligand binding, and this results in modulation of gene expression. Lineage: Bacteria; Bacillati; Bacillota; Bacilli; Caryophanales; Bacillaceae. The record is from RNAcentral.